This 478-nucleotide ribosomal RNA is filed under the name uncultured bacterium. RNAcentral describes it as "partial 16S ribosomal RNA". It matches the Rfam family "Bacterial small subunit ribosomal RNA", at positions 28 to 507 of the family's 1533-position model. The record is from RNAcentral.
GAUGAACGCUGGCGGCGUGCUUAACACACGCAAGUCGAACGAGAAAUGGAGACGGAAACCUUCGGGCGGAAGGCUUCAUUUCGAGUGGCGGACGGGUGAGUAACGCGUGGGUAACCUGCCUCAUACAGGGGGAUAACAGUUGGAAACGACUGUUAAUACCGCAUAAGACCACAGCACCGCAUGGUGCGGGGGUAAAAACUCCGGUGGUAUGAGAUGGACCCGCGUUCGAUUAGCCAGUUGGCGGGGUAACGGCCCACCAAAGCGACGAUCGAUAGCCGAUCUGAGAGGAUGACCGGCCACAUUGGGACUGAGACACGGCCCAAACUCCUACGGGAGGCAGCAGUGGGGAAUAUUGCACAAUGGGGGAAACCCUGAUGCAGCGACGCCGCGUGAGUGAAGAAGUACUUCGGUAUGUAAAGCUCUAUCAGCAGGGAAGAAAAUGACGGUACCUGAGUAAGAAGCCCCGGCUAACUACGUG